This 434-nucleotide ribosomal RNA is filed under the name uncultured Clostridium sp. Its description in RNAcentral is "partial 16S ribosomal RNA". It matches the Rfam family "Bacterial small subunit ribosomal RNA", at positions 341 to 792 of the family's 1533-position model. The record is from RNAcentral. Lineage: Bacteria; Bacillati; Bacillota; Clostridia; Eubacteriales; Clostridiaceae.
ACGGGAGGCAGCAGUGGGGAAUAUUGGACGAUGGGGGAAACCCUGAUCCAGCGACGCCGCGUGAGUGAAGAAGUAUUUCGGUAUGUAAAGCUCUAUCAGCAAGGAAGAAAAUGACGGUACUUGACUAAGAAGCCCCGGCUAACUACGUGCCAGCAGCCGCGGUAAUACGUAGGGGGCAAGCGUUAUCCGGAUUUACUGGGUGUAAAGGGAGCGUAGACGGCAAUGUAAGUCUGAAGUGAAAGCCCCGGGCUCAACCCGGGAACUGCUUUGGAAACUGUAGAGCUAGAGUACAGGAGAGGUAAGCGGAAUUCCUAGUGUAGCGGUGAAAUGCGUAGAUAUUAGGAGGAACACCAGUGGCGAAGGCGGCUUACUGGACUGUAACUGACGUUGAGGCUCGAAAGCGUGGGGAGCAAACAGGAUUAGAUACCCUGGUA